GUGCUCACUUUAGCAGCACAUACACUAAAAUUGGAACAAUACAGACAAGAUGAGCAUAUACAAGGAUGACACGCAAAUUCGUGAAGUGUUCCAUAUUUAA
Molecule: small nuclear RNA, 100 nt
Filed under: Octodon degus (degu)
Lineage: Eukaryota; Metazoa; Chordata; Mammalia; Rodentia; Octodontidae
Source: RNAcentral